This is a small nucleolar RNA of Gastrolobium bilobum, 78 nucleotides long. RefSeq annotates it as small nucleolar RNA R160. The record is from RefSeq and is a predicted model, not a curated record. NCBI's taxonomy places the organism in Eukaryota, Viridiplantae, Streptophyta, Magnoliopsida, Fabales, Fabaceae. The transcript has a single exon.
AGCAAAGUGAUGAGGUUUUAAUAUCUGAAUGUCAUGUGGAUUUCUUAUUCAAAUAGCCUUCAAAGUUCUCUGAUUGCU